AGUGAACGCUGGCGGUAGGCCUAACACAUGCAAGUCGAACGGCAGCACAGUAAGAGCUUGCUCUUACGGGUGGCGAGUGGCGGACGGGUGAGGAAUACAUCGGAAUCUACUUUUUCGUGGGGGAUAACGUAGGGAAACUUACGCUAAUACCGCAUACGACCUACGGGUGAAAGCAGGGGAUCUUCAGACCUUGCGCGAUUGAAUGAGCCGAUGUCGGAUUAGCUGGUUGGCGGGGUAAAGGCCCACCAAGGCGACGAUCCGUAGCUGGUCUGAGAGGAUGAUCAGCCACACUGGAACUGAGACACGGUCCAGACUCCUACGGGAGGCAGCAGUGGGGAAUAUUGGACAAUGGGCGCAAGCCUGAUCCAGCCAUACCGCGUGGGUGAAGAAGGCCUUCGGGUUGUAAAGCCCUUUUGUUGGGAAAGAAAAGCAGCAGGUUAAUACCCCGCUGUUCUGACGGUACCCAAAGAAUAAGCACCGGCUAACUUCGUG
RNAcentral lists this ribosomal RNA (492 nucleotides) under uncultured bacterium. Its description in RNAcentral is "partial 16S ribosomal RNA". It matches the Rfam family "Bacterial small subunit ribosomal RNA", at positions 29 to 507 of the family's 1533-position model. The record is from RNAcentral.